GUGCCAGCCGCCGCGGUAAUACCGGCAGCCCGAGUGAUGGCCGCUAUUAUUGGGCCUAAAGCGUCCGUAGCUGGCCGAACAAGUCCGUCGGGAAAUCCACGUGCUUAACACGCGGGUGACCGGCGGAAACUGUUUGGCUUGGGGCCGGAGGACCCGAGGGGUACGUCCGGGGUAGGAGUGAAAUCCUGUAAUCCUGGACGGACCGCCGGUGGCGAAAGCGCCUCGGGAAGACGGACCCGACAGUGAGGGACGAAAGCUGGGAUCUCGAACCGGAUUAGAUACCCCAGUAGUCC
This 293-nucleotide ribosomal RNA is filed under the name uncultured bacterium. Its description in RNAcentral is "partial 16S ribosomal RNA". It matches the Rfam family "Archaeal small subunit ribosomal RNA", at positions 455 to 747 of the family's 1478-position model. The record is from RNAcentral.